RNAcentral lists this long non-coding RNA (677 nucleotides) under Rattus norvegicus (Norway rat). Its description in RNAcentral is "long non-coding RNA NONRATT017762". The record is from RNAcentral. Lineage: Eukaryota; Metazoa; Chordata; Mammalia; Rodentia; Muridae.
UGAAUGGCUGAGAAGCACUUAAAGAAAUGUUCAUCAUCCUUAGUCAACGGGGAAAUGCAAAUCAAAACAACCCUGAGAUCCCACCUCAAGCCAGUCAGAAUGGCUAAGAUCAAAAACUCAGACAGCAGAUGCUGGCGAGGAUGUGGAGAAAGAGGAACACUCCUCCAUUGUUGGUGGGAUUGCAACCUGGUACAACCACUCUGGAAAUCAGUCUGGAGGUUCCUCAGAUAAUUGGACACAGUAUUACCUGAGGAUCCAGCUAUAUGUGGUAACUCCUGGGCAUACACCCAAGAGAGGUUCCAAAAUAUAACAAGGAUACAUGCUCCACUACGUUUAUAGCAGUGGGGGUGGGGAGGGAGGUUAGGACCAGGUAUUGGAAGGGACUGGAGAGAGAAGUACAGAGAAUCAGAAAAUUGAAUAGAAAUGUAGCAGAGGGGCAUGAGGACUGGGGUAGCCACUAGAAAUUCCCAUACCCCAGGGAAGCAAGAGGCUCCCAGGAGCCAAUGUAAAUGACUUUUCUCAAAAUAUGGAACAAAGGGGAGAGACAACCUGUAGAGAUCACUUCCAGUAGCUAGGCACAACCCCCACUUGAGGGAUGGGGCCACCCACGUAUCUUAAAAUCUUUAACCCAGAAGUGUUCCUAUCCAAAGGAAAGACGGGGACAAAAAAAAAAAAAA